Molecule: long non-coding RNA, 802 nt
Organism: Cynoglossus semilaevis (tongue sole)
Lineage: Eukaryota; Metazoa; Chordata; Actinopteri; Pleuronectiformes; Cynoglossidae
Exons: 3
Source: RefSeq, a predicted model, not a curated record
AAUAAUAAUAAUAAUAAUAAUAAAUAAACAUUUCAAUGACAGUAAUGUCAGAGGCUAUAGCUAAUCAAAGCCGGGCAAUGCUAAGCUAAGCUAAUGCUACGUCCAAUCUGAGAGGAUCAUCACAGGAAGUCCAGAAGUUGACUUGUUUGGGUUCACGUCCGUUACGGAGGCUACUUCUGAACUUCUUUUGGAUAAAAUGACGGACUGGAAGACCGUGAACCAUCGCAGCGAAGCAAAUACGACUCUAUGAUCUCUGCCGUGACACAUCUAAGGAAGACGGAAGACCACAGUCGACACAAUUUAAGGCGCCUCAUCCUGACAGCGGAAGCCUUUAGAAGUCAGAGAAGGCCCGAGGCUGGAGAUGGCAUAUCAGCACAUCUGUCUGCUCCACAGCCAGGUUGUGAAGUGAUGCACUGACUGUCGGUGCUUCUGCGAGUGUUCUGUCACCGACUGACUGGAUCUGACUGAAGCUCAGUGUCAGCGAUCGGCUCAGGGACAACGUAAUCCGCGACUUACAGAGGAAGAUGGUGGCAGCAACUAAAGAAGACGAGCGACUCAGACGUCUCCCAGGGUGUCUUUCUUCAAGUCCUGUUGGUAUAUCAGCGAGGUGUUCAACUAAACAAUGUGAGUAAACUGGAAAUAAAAGAUCAUUAAACUGAGUUAUAUAUACUGUACAUAAAAUAUGUGUGAUGGCUCAAGGGAUCUGUCAACGAAUACAUUUUAAUAUUUUAAGCAUUUAAUGUCACUUUUCAAAAAUACCCCAGGCUUUUUUUUUCACUGGCAGGAACAGAGAAAAAAAAAG